GUGAGGGGGUGACUAGUGACAGAGUGAGGGAAGGGGUGACUAGUGGCAGAGUGAGGGAAGGAAGGGGAGACUAGUGACAGAGUGAGGGAGGUGGUGACUGUCACUAGUCACCACCUCCCUCACUCUGUCACUAGUCACCACCUCCCUCUGUCACUACUCCCUCCCUCCUUCUGUCACUAGUCACGCCCUCCCUCACUCUGUCACAUGUCAUCCCCUCCCUCACUCUGUCACCAGUCAUCCCCUUCCCUCAC
This is a non-coding RNA of Pelobates cultripes (western spadefoot toad), 251 nucleotides long. The record is from the annotation of a GenBank genome assembly. Lineage: Eukaryota; Metazoa; Chordata; Amphibia; Anura; Pelobatidae.